UAUAGACACCCUUUUAAUUCUCCAAUCACAGACGUAACUCCGAUUUCACAAAACAGUCAAGAGUGAUCACAUCCACUUCAUUAAAAAUCCCGAUUCACUAUUACAACACUGACUUCAGCAAUGAUUGCCUCAAUCUUCCCAAAACCCUAUAAAGAAGAAAAACCCAAUUCUCUAUCUUUUCUUCCCCGACCCCGAAGCAUGAAGCUAGCUCUCUCCUAUCUUCAAAAAAAACCUCCCCA
RNAcentral lists this long non-coding RNA (239 nucleotides) under Physcomitrium patens. RNAcentral describes it as "long non-coding RNA (PPAT_LNC008962)". Lineage: Eukaryota; Viridiplantae; Streptophyta; Bryopsida; Funariales; Funariaceae. The record is from RNAcentral.